GCCGGGCGCGGUGGCGCGUGCCUGUAGUCCCAGCUACUGGGGAGGGUGAGGUAGGAGAAUCGCUUGAACCCAGGAGGCGGAGGUUGCAGUGAGCCGAGAUCGGGCCACUGCACUCCAGCCUGGGUGACAGAGCGAGACUCUGUCUCAA
Papio anubis (olive baboon) is the source of this 148-nucleotide unclassified non-coding RNA. It matches the Rfam family "Metazoan signal recognition particle RNA". From Rfam's summary of the family: The signal recognition particle (SRP) is a universally conserved ribonucleoprotein. It is involved in the co-translational targeting of proteins to membranes. NCBI's taxonomy places the organism in Eukaryota, Metazoa, Chordata, Mammalia, Primates, Cercopithecidae. The record is from Ensembl.